CGCGUAGGCGGUUUCUUAAGUCAGGGUGAAAUCCAGCAGCUCAACUGCUGGCCUGCCUUUGAAACUAAGAAACUUGAGUCCGUGAGAGGAAAGCGGAAUUCCUGGUGUAUCGGUGAAAUGAGUUGAUAUCAGGAGGAACACCGGUGGCGAAGGCGGCUUUCUGGUGCGGUACUGACGCUGAGGUGCGAAAGCAUGGGGAGCAAACG
Molecule: ribosomal RNA, 206 nt
Filed under: uncultured bacterium
Lineage: Bacteria
Description: partial 16S ribosomal RNA
Rfam family: Bacterial small subunit ribosomal RNA
Source: RNAcentral